GUGAAGGUUCCAGAACAACAGAGGGGUGAAGGUUCCAGAACAACAGAGAAGGGGUGAAGGUUCCAGAACAACAGAGAAGGGGUGAAGGUUCCAGAACAACAGAGAAGGGGUGAAGGUUCCAGAACAACAGAGAAGGGGUGAAGGUUCCAGAACAACAGAGAAGGGGUGAAGGUUCCAGAACAACAGAGAAGGGGUGAAGGUUCCAGAACAACAGAGAAGGGGUGAAGGUUCCAGAACAACAGAGAAGGGGUGAAGGUUCCAGAACAACAGAGAAGGGGUGAAGGUUCCAGAACAACAGAGAAGGGGUGAAGGUUCCAGAACAACAGAGAAGGGGUGAAGGUUCCAGAACAACAGAGGGGUGAAGGUUCCAGUACAACAGAGGGGUGAAGGUUCCAGAACAACAGAGGG
This is a long non-coding RNA of Oncorhynchus keta (chum salmon), 408 nucleotides long. RefSeq lists it as uncharacterized. The transcript has 3 exons. The record is from RefSeq and is a predicted model, not a curated record. Lineage: Eukaryota; Metazoa; Chordata; Actinopteri; Salmoniformes; Salmonidae.